RNAcentral lists this long non-coding RNA (596 nucleotides) under Brassica rapa (field mustard). RNAcentral describes it as "long non-coding RNA (BRAP_LNC008322)". The record is from RNAcentral. Lineage: Eukaryota; Viridiplantae; Streptophyta; Magnoliopsida; Brassicales; Brassicaceae.
UGGCUUCUCCUUGGGAGGGAUCAGCGAGCCAUAAUGAGCAACCCACCAUGCCUCGUUCUCGGCAGGAUGCACCGAGUGAGGCACGAACUCCGUUUUCGGAACGACGAGCUCUUCGUAAGGACUCGCGGACGAAGACCCUUUUUUCGCAAUCUUCUUCUUGCUCGACAUCUUUACACUUCUCUUAAGAGAAUAGAGGAAAAGGGUGGAGAGAAAGAUAGAAAGUUUUUGAAAGAUCUUAGAGAAAAAACAAGAAAGUGAAAAAAUUAUGGAACAAGUUACCUCUCUUCUUAUAAGACAUGAGGAUUUACUAUUCAAGCUCGGACUUUCGCAUAUUAAUUCCAUCCAUCACGCCUAACUUGCCAAACAUGUCUAACCGCACGCUAGGAUCCCCCAUGCAUGAUCCUAACGGGCUGGGGGGCUAACUGUUGGGGUCAAAAAUGGUUACGACGGAAUUACCAUCCGAAAAUCCUCAGAGAUCGUAUUUCCGAAAGGGUUAAAGAAGGGAUGUAAUUUUUCGUCGAAAUAAACUAUACGAGGUUAUUUCUACGAAGAAGUAUUCUUUGGGAUUCAAACCAAACGAUCGUCCCGCUCGGUCG